UGCUCACCAGGCCAUCUCCCACCUGAAGAACACUUACUUUUUGUCUGAGGUCUGGGCCAUGAGCCUCUUCCGCAUUAUCUCUGCCAUUCAUCCCAUACACAAGGUACAGUUGAUCAGUAACUGGCCUGACAAAACAGUCACAGCAAAAUGAACUUUUUGUCCUCUGAUUAAUCAACUAGAAAUUGGUCUUGGCCUUUAGACUCCAUCUUCUAAAAAAAAAAGUUCCGUUUUGAUUUUCAACCAAACUUUCCUUUGUGUCUAGUUGCUGAUUCCUCAUUUCCUCUGGACUCUACAUUUCAACACUCAGGGCCGUGAGUUUCUGUUGGGACCUUCCGGGACGUUUGCAACGGUACGGCCCAUCCUUGCGGCCCUGUUGUUCGCUCUCAUUUUUCACACAUAAUUCCAGGUUCGUGUGAUAUAUAUUUCCGUGACUAGAGUGCCAUUGUAGUCGAUGGCACUCUUGAGCUAAUGGCCCGGGCGCAAGACUAGACACCUCGCUGUGCUUACCGGAUGACAUUGGCGCUCGAGGACUCGAGUCCAUCCCCGACUUCUACUACAGAGAUGACGGCCUUAAAAUCUGGAACAUCAUCCACAAAUUUGUGCAGGCUGUAGUCGGACACUACUAUCGUUCAAACAACGAGGUGGUCCAAGACUCAGAGCUGGAAGCGUGGAUCCAGGACAUCUUCACUUGCUACUUUUUAGGAAAGAAGUCUUCAGGGUGUCCCGAGGCCUUGAGGAGGUGGUCAAGUUCAUCACCUUGGUAAUCUUCAAGGUUUCGGCUCAGCAUGCUGCCGUCAAUAACGGACAGGAAAGUACAAUACAGCGCUGGGCCUUUCCUGCGACCAUGCUCAAGAGCAGAAAGUCUCCAUUCCGAAAAGGCAACGUUCAAGGUUCUUUGGUCAGCUUAUAUUCAGUUGCACAUGCCGGUGUGGGCCGAGUUUGAUGGGUGAUGAGUCUUUGGCGUAGGGCAAGUUCGCAGUAGAAUUUGAUUUCAUGGGAGUGGGUGCUGGUUCGGUGAGAGCUUGUUCCGUGGGGGUGGGUGCUGAUUAUGGGCUAUUCGGUGUGUGUGGGGGCUGUUGUCUUCCAUCCCGUCUUUCGGCCUUGGCGAUCAUCUUUGGCCGGGUUCUUGGCUGUCUCCCUCUGGCACCUGCUGGUUUUAAUAUUUCUUUUAUUGCUUUAAUAUGUGAAUAUACUUGUCUGCUUAUGUACUUUAUUCAAUGAGGUUUGAGCAUAUCUGUUUUUGUAGCUAGGCAGGACUUUUUGUAUUUUCGACCCCAUUCCUUCAACAGGGGUGUCAAACUCUGGUCCGCAAUGUACCGUAUUGGCCCGAAUAUAAGACGACCCAGAUUAUAAAACGACCCCGUCUUUUUCAAGACUCAAGUUUGAAGAAAGACUUUUUGAACACCAAAUUUAAUUUACAUACAGAAAAUGAUUACAUCUGAAUCAAAUGAUUAUAACAAUAAUUUCGAGAGAAAAAGCAAGUUAUUUUGCUUCAUUCAAAUCAUGCAAAGACUGUCUAUCACAUCUUAAUAUCUGAACAUUUAAAUAUGUAAACUAAAGUGCAAUCACAUUUGUAAAUGAAUGGCGUCUGGUUUUUGAAAUGCAAUAAAUAAAUAAAUAAACCAAUCUACUGUGAUAAAACAAUAAAAUUGC
Molecule: long non-coding RNA, 1653 nt
Organism: Syngnathus typhle (broad-nosed pipefish)
Lineage: Eukaryota; Metazoa; Chordata; Actinopteri; Syngnathiformes; Syngnathidae
Exons: 4
Source: RefSeq, a predicted model, not a curated record